RNAcentral lists this long non-coding RNA (902 nucleotides) under Manihot esculenta (cassava). RNAcentral's name for it is "long non-coding RNA (MESC_LNC008800)". The record is from RNAcentral. Lineage: Eukaryota; Viridiplantae; Streptophyta; Magnoliopsida; Malpighiales; Euphorbiaceae.
UUCUGUCGUUUUCAAAUAAGGGAACGAACCGACUAACCCAGACGCAGAGAGGAGAGAGCCGGAGAAAGAGCAGAUGGGAGCGUGAGAAGAAGGUACUUGCAAGUGCUAAUGGUGUGAUCGGAGAGACGGGAUAUCGACGAUGAGGCAAAAGAAGAUAUUUGGAUAAGGGGAUGGAGAAGGCGAGAGAAAUCAAUUGCGUUUCUGUUCCAUCCGAGCUGGUGAGACUGAGGCGCAUCGGCACCUUCAUUAAACAUAUCUAAUUCUCCCAUUGAUAAGCUGAUUUAGCUUCAACUUUGGAAUUGAUAUUCAACUGAUGCUUAAAAUGUCUGGACCUUGAGUUUGAACUGUUAUAUAUUAGAGAAUCAGAUUCAAAUUUCUGCAAGAUAGAACUUAAUUUGUCCAGGUAGAGCAUAAAUAUAUAUGCGUAUAUCGAUUAAAUAGGAAUAUUUGGUGUUUUCAUUACAGAUAUAUGUCUACAUACGCGGAAAAAUCAGAAUGGCCAUCAUUUGUUUUUUCCCCCUCUCCUGUGCAUGGCAAAGCAACUAAAAAAUAGAGGGGCAAAGCUUUACAAAUUAGCAAAUAACAAAUAGAAGGUGAGUCCUGCAUUCUCCAAGUGAUAAUUUUGCAUAUUUAAUUUAAGUUUUUUUUUUCUUUGUUAAAAAAACCAGUUGUUAUUAAGUGACAUAGGGACUAGGAGUGUUCAAAAGUGCGAGUAUAUUAAGGUAUACGAGAUGAUAAUAGAAGCACAGGACCUAAACUCAUUUCAAAUUUUAAUGGACUUCCAUUAAUAGUUUAGAUGGUGGGGUUUUUGGGAAGUGCCUUUGGAGAAGAUACUCUCCUGUGUCUAUUGCCUUAGGCUAAGCGAAACACAUAUGCAUUGAUUGGGAUCAGGGAUAUACAAG